RNAcentral lists this ribosomal RNA (309 nucleotides) under uncultured bacterium. Its description in RNAcentral is "partial 16S ribosomal RNA". It matches the Rfam family "Bacterial small subunit ribosomal RNA", at positions 504 to 808 of the family's 1533-position model. The record is from RNAcentral.
AGAGACAGCACAGCCGCGGGAAUACAGAGGGUGCGAGCGUUAAUCGGAUUUACUGGGCGUAAAGCGUGCGUAGGCGGCUUCUUAAGUCGGAUGUGAAAUCCCUGAGCUUAACUUAGGAAUUGCAUUCGAUACUGGGAAGCUAGAGUAUGGGAGAGGAUGGUAGAAUUCCAGGUGUAGCGGUGAAAUGCGUAGAGAUCUGGAGGAAUACCGAUGGCGAAGGCAGCCAUCUGGCCUAAUACUGACGCUGAGGUACGAAAGCAUGGGGAGCAAACAGGAUUAGAUACCUCGGUAGUCCCUGUCUCUUAUACA